Molecule: ribosomal RNA, 254 nt
Filed under: uncultured bacterium
Lineage: Bacteria
Description: partial 16S ribosomal RNA
Rfam family: Bacterial small subunit ribosomal RNA
Source: RNAcentral
GACGUAGGGCGCGAGCGUUGUCCGGAUUUAUUGGGCGUAAAGAGCUCGUAGGCGGCUUGUCGCGUCGACUGUGAAAACCCGUGGCUCAACCAUGUGGUCUGCAGUCGAUACGGGCAGGCUAGAAUUCGGUAGGGGAGACUGGAAUUCCUGGUGUAGCGGUGAAAUGCGCAGAUAUCAGGAGGAACACCGGCGGCGAAGGCGGGUCUCUGGGCCGAUAUUGACGCUGAGGAGCGAAAGCGUGGGGAGCGAACAGG